AGCGAACGCUGGCGGCAGGCCUAACACAUGCAAGUCGAACGAACCUUUCGGGGUUAGUGGCGGACGGGUGAGUAACACGUGGGAACGUGCCUUUAGGUUCGGAAUAACUCAGGGAAACUUGUGCUAAUACCGAAUGUGCCCUUCGGGGGAAAGAUUUAUCGCCUUUAGAGCGGCCCGCGUCUGAUUAGCUAGUUGGUUGAGGUAAUGGCUCACCAAGGCGACGAUCAGUAGCUGGUCUGAGAGGAUGAUCAGCCACAUUGGGACUGAGACACGGCCCAAACUCCUACGGGAGGCAGCAGUGGGGAAUCUUGCGCAAUGGGCGAAAGCCUGACGCAGCCAUGCCGCGUGAAUGAUGAAGGUCUUAGGAUGGUAAAAUUCUUUCACCGGGGACGAUAAUGACGGUAACCGGAGAAGAAGCCCCGGCUAACUUCGU
RNAcentral lists this ribosomal RNA (433 nucleotides) under uncultured bacterium. RNAcentral describes it as "partial 16S ribosomal RNA". It matches the Rfam family "Bacterial small subunit ribosomal RNA", at positions 29 to 506 of the family's 1533-position model. The record is from RNAcentral.